GACGAACCGUCCAAACGUUAUUCGGAAUCACUGGGCUUACAGAGCUCGUAGGCGGUCUGUUACGUCCGCUGUGAAAUCCCAGGGCUUAACCCUGGGCUUGCAGUGGAUACGGGCAGACUAGAGGUAGGUAGGGGAGAAUGGAAUUCCCGGUGUAGCGGUGAAAUGCGCAGAUAUCGGGAGGAACACCGGUGGCGAAGGCGGUUCUCUGGGCCUUACCUGACGCUGAGGAGCGAAAGCGUGGGGAGCGAACAGG
This 253-nucleotide ribosomal RNA is filed under the name uncultured bacterium. Its description in RNAcentral is "partial 16S ribosomal RNA". It matches the Rfam family "Bacterial small subunit ribosomal RNA", at positions 524 to 776 of the family's 1533-position model. The record is from RNAcentral.